Molecule: ribosomal RNA, 253 nt
Filed under: uncultured bacterium
Lineage: Bacteria
Description: partial 16S ribosomal RNA
Rfam family: Bacterial small subunit ribosomal RNA
Source: RNAcentral
UACGUAGGCAGCGAGCGUUGUUCGGAGUUACUGGGCGUAAAGGGUGUGUAGGCGGUUGCUUAAGUCUGGUGUGAAAUCUCCCGGCUCAACUGGGAGGGUGCGCCGAAUACUGAGUGACUAGAGUGCGGGAGAGGAAAGUGGAAUUCCUGGUGUAGCGGUGAAAUGCGUAGAUAUCAGGAGGAACACCGGUGGUGUAGACGGCUUUCUGGACCGUAACUGACGCUGAGACACGAAAGCGUGGGUAGCAAACAGG